UUAGCCUAAAGUAUUAAAGGUAACGCCUGCCCAGUGAUAAAUUAAACGGCCGCGGGAUCCUCCACCGUGCAAAGGUAGCAUAAUCACUUGUCCCCUAAAUAGUGACUAGUAUGAAUGGCCAAAUGAAGAUUUUACUGUCUCUUAUAGCCGAUCUAUGAAACUAAUUUAUCAGUACAAAAGCUGAUAUAUUUACAUAAGACGAAAAGACCCUGUGGAACUUUAAGCACAACCCACCACAAUGGCCCACCUGCUUUUAGUUGGGGCAACUUUGGAAAAAAACAAAACUUCCAAUAAAAUUAAAGAUUAACAGAUCUAUAUGACUGCAUCCGACCCAACACAUGUUGAUCAAAGAACCAAGCUACCCCAGGGAUAACAGCGCCAUCCCCUCUUAGAGCCCAAAUCGACGAGCGGGGUUUACGACCUCGAUGUUGGAUCAGGGCCCCCAAACAGUGCAACAGCUGUUAAUGGUUUGUUUGUUCAACAAUUAAAGCCCUACGUGAUC
RNAcentral lists this ribosomal RNA (502 nucleotides) under Pholidobolus vertebralis (brown Prionodactylus). RNAcentral describes it as "partial 16S ribosomal RNA". It matches the Rfam family "Bacterial large subunit ribosomal RNA", at positions 1833 to 2605 of the family's 2925-position model. The record is from RNAcentral. Lineage: Eukaryota; Metazoa; Chordata; Lepidosauria; Squamata; Gymnophthalmidae.